Non-coding RNA from Pelotomaculum thermopropionicum SI, 138 nucleotides. The record is from Rfam. Lineage: Bacteria; Bacillati; Bacillota; Clostridia; Eubacteriales; Desulfotomaculaceae.
CAGCGGGUUGAAAUGUACCUGUCACGGUAAUUUCUCGUACACCGUGAAGUCGUCAGGCAGGCGUCUUCGGGGUGACCUAAGACGUCAAGCUGCCUGAAAAGGCCAAAAGGCCGAGACAGGAUGCAGGCCGUAGCGAAA